UAAGCNGAGGANAAGAAACUAACAAGGAUUCCCCUAGUAUCUGCGAGNGNAGCGGGANAAGCUCANAUNUAAAAUCUGNUGGUCUUUNNCGUCCGAGNGUAAUUUAGAGAAGCGUCUUUCGCGCUGNNCCCGUGCACAAGUCUCCUNGAACGGAGNGUCGUAGAGGGUGAGAAUNCCGUCUUUGGCAUGGACACACCAGGGCUUUUGCGAUGCGCUCUCGAAGAGUCGAGUUGUUUGGGAAUGCAGCUCAAAAUGGGUGGUGANCUCCAUCUAAAGCUAAAUAUUGGCGAGAGACCGAUAGCGAACAAGUNCCGUGAGGGAAAGAUGAAAAGCACUUUGGAAAGAGAGUGAAACAGUACGUGAAAUUGUUGAAAGGGAAACGCUUGAAGUCAGUCGCGUCGUCCGAGACUCAGCCUCGCCUCGGCUUGGCGUACUUCUCGGGCCGACGGGUCAGCAUCAAUUUCGCCUCUCGGAUAAUGGCGAGGGAAAAGUGACACCUUUACGGUGUGUUAUAGUCUCUCGUCGCAUGCGAGGGUCGGGAUUGAGGAACUCAGCACGCGCCCUCGGGCGUCGGGGCUUUUCGCCCACGAUACGUGCUUAGGAUGUUGGCGUAAUGGCUUUAAACGACC
Molecule: ribosomal RNA, 629 nt
Filed under: uncultured Russulaceae
Lineage: Eukaryota; Fungi; Basidiomycota; Agaricomycetes; Russulales; Russulaceae
Description: partial large subunit ribosomal RNA
Rfam family: Eukaryotic large subunit ribosomal RNA
Source: RNAcentral